GAUGAACGCUGGCGGCGUGCUUAACACAUGCAAGUCGAACGGAAAGGCCAGUGCUUGCACUGGUACUCGAGUGGCGAACGGGUGAGUAACACGUGGGUGAUCUGCCCUGCACUUCGGGAUAAGCCUGGGAAACUGGGUCUAAUACCGGAUAGGACAAUGGUUUGGAUGCCGUUGUGGAAAGUUUUUUCGGUGUGGGAUGAGCUCGCGGCCUAUCAGCUUGUUGGUGGGGUAAUGGCCUACCAAGGCGUCGACGGGUAGCCGGCCUGAGAGGGUGUACGGCCACAUUGGGAAUGAGAUACGGCCCAGACUCAUACGGGAGGCAGCAGUGGGGAAUAUUGCACAAUGGGCGCAAGCCUGAUGCAGCGACGCCGCGUGGGGGAUGACGGCCUUCGGGUUGUAAACUCAUUUCGCUAGGGACGAAGCGUAUUUGUGACGGUACCUGGAGAAGAAGCACCGGCUAACUACGUG
This 468-nucleotide ribosomal RNA is filed under the name uncultured bacterium. RNAcentral describes it as "partial 16S ribosomal RNA". It matches the Rfam family "Bacterial small subunit ribosomal RNA", at positions 28 to 507 of the family's 1533-position model. The record is from RNAcentral.